CCAGCACUGAACCUCGUGUCUCCGGAUACCGAGGAAUGUAGUGUUCAGGAGAGAGGURGUUUGCCUGUCCGGUGAUUGUCCAAGUCCCCAUGAUCGGGGCUAGAGUCCGCAGAGGGUGUCAGGCCCGUAGUGACGCACCGCGACCGUGAACGCUUGAUCUCCUAAGAGUCGGGUUGCUUGAGAGUGCAGCCCUAAGCGGGAGGUAAACUCCUUCUAAGGCUAAAUACCGCCACGAGACCGAUAGCAAACAAGUACCGCGAGGGAAAGUUGAAAAGAACUUUGAAGAGAGAGUUCAAGAGUGCGUGAAACCGUUCAGGGGGUUAAACGGGUGGGCCCUCGAAGGUCGAACGGCAUCUACUCCCGUUACCUGCAUACGAGCCUGCGCUGGGACGAGUCGCAUUCUGCGGCCGCCGAGUGUGGUACGCUUGGGGCGUGCAGGGACCGCUAGUUGGAUGCCUAGUAGGACUCCGCAACCGGCUGGGGUGAUACGGUCGUCAGACGGGUCUUGAGAAGCGGCCUCCUUGUGGGGCUGUCUUUUUGAGAUUCCCGGCGACCACUCGGCCGUUGAGUGCUGCCUCGCUGUUCCUCAUGGAUGGACGAGCGUUUUGACCUUUGCGGGGAGAAGCGUUGUCGGUUCGUUCGAGGCUCCGGUGAGAAGCGCGGAGAGUAGGUCGGGUCCCACCCGACCCGUCUUGAAACACGGACCAAGGAGUCUAACAUGUGCGCGAGUCGUCGAGUUGUACCAAACUCGAAGGCGCAAUGAAAGUAAAGGCUAGGCUUGCCCUAGCUGAGGGGAGAUCCCGUUUCUGCUUCGGUAGCGCGGGCGCAUCCCCGGGGCGUCUAGACUGCGUUGCCAGUCGGACGCACCUAGAGCGUACACGUUGGGACCCGAAAGAUGGUGACCUAUGCCUGGCCAGGACGA
Molecule: ribosomal RNA, 922 nt
Filed under: Triops australiensis
Lineage: Eukaryota; Metazoa; Arthropoda; Branchiopoda; Notostraca; Triopsidae
Description: partial large subunit ribosomal RNA
Source: RNAcentral